This 253-nucleotide ribosomal RNA is filed under the name uncultured bacterium. RNAcentral's name for it is "partial 16S ribosomal RNA". It matches the Rfam family "Bacterial small subunit ribosomal RNA", at positions 524 to 776 of the family's 1533-position model. The record is from RNAcentral.
UACAUGGGGUGCAAACGUUGCUCGGAAUUAUUGGGCGUAAAGCGCGCGUAGGCGGUUACUCAAGUCGGAUGGGAAAGCCCUCGGCUUAACUGAGGAAGUGCACCCGAAACUGAGUAGCUAGAGUACUAAAGAGGGUCGCGGAAUUCCCGGUGUAGAGGUGAAAUUCGUAGAUAUCGGGAAGAACACCCGUGGCGAAGGCGGCUCUCUGGGACGGUACUGACGCUGAGACGCGAAAGCGUGGGGAGCGAACAGG